RNAcentral lists this transfer RNA (73 nucleotides) under Caudoviricetes sp. RNAcentral describes it as "tRNA-Ile". It matches the Rfam family "tRNA". Rfam says of the family: Transfer RNA (tRNA) molecules are approximately 80 nucleotides in length. Their secondary structure includes four short double-helical elements and three loops (D, anti-codon, and T loops). Further hydrogen bonds mediate the characteristic L-shaped molecular structure. tRNAs have two regions of fundamental functional importance: the anti-codon, which is responsible for specific mRNA codon recognition, and the 3' end, to which the tRNAs corresponding amino acid is attached (by aminoacyl-tRNA synthetases). tRNAs cope with the degeneracy of the genetic code in two manners: having more than one tRNA (with a specific anti-codon) for a particular amino acid; and 'wobble' base-pairing, i.e. permitting non-standard base-pairing at the 3rd anti-codon position. Lineage: Duplodnaviria; Heunggongvirae; Uroviricota; Caudoviricetes. The record is from RNAcentral.
UUUGGAUUAGUCAAGAGGUUAAGACGCAACUGUAAUAAGGUUGUUACAUCGGUUCGAAUCCGAUAUCCAAACA